Molecule: ribosomal RNA, 253 nt
Filed under: uncultured bacterium
Lineage: Bacteria
Description: partial 16S ribosomal RNA
Rfam family: Bacterial small subunit ribosomal RNA
Source: RNAcentral
GACGGAGGGUGCAAGCGUUGUUCGGAAUUACUGGGCGUAAAGGGCGCGUAGGCGGUUUGCUAAGUUCGGUGUGAAAGCCCCUGGCUCAACUGGGGAACGGCGCUGGAAACUGGCAGACUAGAGUACCGGAGAGGAGGGUGGAAUUCCUGGUGUAGCGGUGAAAUGCGUAGAUAUCAGGAGGAACACCGGUGGCGAAGGCGGCCCUCUGGACGGAUACUGACGCUGAGGCGCGAAAGCGUGGGGAGCAAACAGG